Molecule: long non-coding RNA, 268 nt
Organism: Oreochromis aureus
Lineage: Eukaryota; Metazoa; Chordata; Actinopteri; Cichliformes; Cichlidae
Source: Ensembl
GCUUUGUGCUGAGCUCCAUCAGAGAGCUCUACAGAGCUCAUGACAGUCACGCUGUACCCAGUUUACUGAGGUCACUUGGUCAUGUGAUCAACCUGAGCAGCAGAGAGCUGGACUCAGUGGACUGUGCUGCUCUGAUCUUCAUCCUCAAACAUGGAGACGGAGUCAAACUGAACCUCCUGUGGACCUCCAUACCAGCAGAGGGAGUAGAGUCCAUCCUCUUCAUGCUGGACAAAGUUUCUCAUCUCAGUGUUGACAGGAAUCAGCUGCU